This 206-nucleotide ribosomal RNA is filed under the name uncultured bacterium. RNAcentral describes it as "partial 16S ribosomal RNA". It matches the Rfam family "Bacterial small subunit ribosomal RNA", at positions 568 to 774 of the family's 1533-position model. The record is from RNAcentral.
CGCGUAGGCGGGCUGUCAAGUCUGGGGUGAAAUCCCGCGGCUCAACCGUGGAACUGCCUCAGAUACUGACGGUCUCGAGGGGGAUAGGGGCGAGCGGAACUAAUGGUGGAGCGGUGAAAUGCGUUGAUAUCAUUAGGAACUCCGGUGGCGAAGGCGGCUCGCUGGAUCUCUUCUGACGCUGAGGCGCGAAAGCUAGGGAGCAAACG